UUCAGGACAUCAGGAGUGAGAGUACAGCAGGGAGGAAACCACAGCUGGCAGGAUGCUGCAAUCCCCAGCCUCACCUCUGGGAGCCACUGUCGGGUCUGCAGCCAAGCCCUGGGCUUGGAAGGGCAGGAGCCUGCCUUAGGCACACUCCCACUGGCCUGAGCCAACAGGUGGCACAGCUCAGGCUGGACCCAGCCAGCCUCAAGGAGGGAAGAGGGGGCAUCGUGGUGGCACUGGACUCCCUGCAGGGUAUGGGAUGAACUCUGCUCCUCAGAUGGACAGGGGCUGCAAGAAGGAAGAAUGGGCAGCUUGAACUCAGGGAGGGCUCUGCAGAGGCAGAAGAUGAACAGUAAAAUGCAAAGAUCUGGCGACCUUCAGAGCUGGUGUAGUCUGGUUCCCCGCUCCAUCCGCAUGGACCGAGGAGACACUCUGCAGAACCACCCAGAAGCCCCAAAGUGUGACAUCACCAGUUCAACAGCCUUUCCCACUCCCAUCACUUCCUGAAACAGCCAGAGCAAGAAGAUGAUGCAUGUGAGCCCUGCCCUUGGGAAGCCUCCAGGUUGGGAAAUGAGGAAUGAGCCUGACACCCAGGGCCCAGAGAGACCCAGGACAGAGGCAGGCCAGGAGGCAGACACGUGCUGCUGGGUGAUGACGACAGCACCACUAAUCACGACUACUCCUUAUUAAGUACUUACUAAGUGCAAGACUCCAAGCUAAGCAAUUAAUAGACCUUUUCUUGUUUAAUCCUUACCAUAAUUCCAUAGGGUGAGUAUAAUCCUUAAUUUAUAGUUUGGGAAAGGAGGCUCAGAGAGUUCUAGCAAUGUGUGCAGCAUCACACAGCUAGUCAGUGGUAGAGCUGGAAUUUCAGUCCAGAUCUGCCAGCUCCAAAGCCAGUGCCCUUUCUACCCCACUUCAAGCUCUAGGUGGGGAUUUGUUACUUCCCUUACAAAAAGCCUCGUGGGAGCCCCAUUACCAAUAACAUAAGCCCCCCACAGCUGAGACUCCCCUGGAUGACCCCUGCCUGCCUUCUCACCAUUGCUUCCAGCACACCACCAUCACACCUUAGAUUUUAACACUGCCGUUUUUGAAGUUUACCCCUAUAAGUCUUGGCUUCUGCUGUUUACUCAGGCUCAAAUCCAGCCCCACUUUACAGAUGACAAAACAGAGAACUAAGAAUGUUAAGUAACUAGCCCAAGGUCACGCAACUAGAAAGCAAUUGAGCCUGGUUAGGGCUCAGGUCAUUAGAGCAUCAAGUAAUCAAGCAUUAAUUUGUGUUACAGACAAUUAGAGAAUGAGAAUUAGCAGGACAUGUUGCUAAUGGUGCAGAAGAAGUUAGCGGAGAGGAAUCAGGCAGGUUCCAGAGUGAAGGAGGGCCAGGCUAGGCCUUGAGAAAUGGGCAGGCUCUGAAUGUGUGUUCUUGAAAGGGGAGGGCAAGAGAAGAGUACAAAGAUGACAGCAAAGAGAGGGAGAGAGGAAGGGAGAGGGGGUUGUCAAAAUUAGGGAGAGAAUGUGGCAUGGUGAACAGAGCUGUGACUGGGAGUCAGGAGACCCAGCUGUGUCCCGUCAACUUCCUGUGUGAUCUUGGGCAAGGAAGGCCCUUCCCUCUCUGGGGGGUGCCUUGUCUAUCAGUGAAGGAUAGAUGCACCUAGGUGGCCUCUGGGGUCCCACCUGGCCCUGACAUCCCAGGAAUUUUUGUGUUGCCAUUGGACCUUGAAACACAGAAUCUGACCCCAGACCCCUGACAUGUGGUACAGGCUUGGACACCAAGGGCAGACAGGGCCAGCGGCUAACAAGACACCUGAUAGGGAGCACCCAAGGGCUAUCCCCAUCCACACGAAGUCACUCACGCGCCCCUUCUGCCCCUGCAUCCGUGCUACUAAGCAUGUGUGGACUCGCUACAGUGGAUCCAAUCCUGUGGAAGCUAGAAUGCAGCAGGGGCGAAAGAGUCGUAUACUCAAGGAAAGGCAUUUGUCCUCAAGGAAAGGCAAAGGGAAUGGAGGUGCUUAGAGAAGGGGCAAAGAAAACUUCCUGAAAGUAAGGGUGGAGGUUUUCAGAUUGGAAUACAUGGUCUGCCAAAUUGGAGGACAUUUGAGGAAAAAGAAUGGUCCCCAAUCAAGACAGCACUGCACCCAAACAUAAAGUACCUUCCAGACCAUCAGAAAAGGAAACAGUCCUGUCUCAGGGGCCUGUGCUCACAACAACAGAUGCUGCUGGAGACCUCAGAGCCCGUGGAGGCAGAAGAUGCCUCACUAGAGACUGUGGACACACAUAUCUGAGCACACACAGGUGCUCGCACACAAGCCUGAACAGAGACCCCACCGUGGGCCGUCCAUCCUCCCACUUCCCAGUUGAGCCCGGUAAGCAGCUCUCCCUCUCCAGCAAACACACCCCUCACGUGCUGAUGACAUGCAGCCCUGGAAGUCAGAACGUCUUGCUGUCUCACCUUGCUCCCUCUUGCUGUAGUUCUGAUGCGCUUGCUUCUUUUCUGACUCAAGAGAUGCCAAACAGAAACAGGCCCACCCACUUCUGUGUCCUGACUUUCGCCUUCUGGAACAUGAACUCAGCUCUUACCUUUCCUACCUGUUUGACCUCCAGACCCCUGUCUUAUUCACAACAGAAUGCCAAAUGAUGGAUGAUGGGCACUCGGGAGCCCACGUGAUCCUCCAGUGGCCAGCCUCACUGUGCCCUCCAGAUUUAUCCCACAGCUAGAAGCUCAGGGCAAGCACCAGCUCCUCUGCUGACUGGCUGCAAAAGCUCGGGCUGAGUUUCUGUGUUCUACAAGGUUAUGGUGAAGAUCACACGAGAACUGCCUGCAAAGCACUUAGCACAGAGCAGGGCACAGAGUAAGCCCUCGAUGAUGAAUAAUACACUUAUUAUUAUUAUUUGUCCCUAAUUUUAACUCCCUCUGCCCUUAUCCCACCAUCCCACAGGUUGAGUAGGAAGUCCUUUUUGAAGUCUAAUCUCAAGCCUUCAUGCCACGGAUUGGGCCAAUGUUCCACCUUAAUUGGAGUCCGGGGACUGGGGUGGAAAAAGCAGAACUGGCUGAUUGGAGGAGCCACGUCCCUGCAAGGGGCCAGGAGGGAGAUUACAGAGGCGCCAGGCCCAGAGCUCCAACAUGCACCUGCCGCCGCUCCAGGGGAGAUCGGGGUCCUGCCAAUUUACCCCGCCCCAUGAUCUCAUGGCUGUGUGUGCCAGGCACUGGCUCAGGGAGCAGGUACUGACAGCAGGGCCUGGGCAAGAAGCCCAAGACAAGAAGAUGGGAAGGCUGUGGAGAGCCAACAACAGAGCUGUCCCCAUGGGGCUCAGACACGAGUUUCCUCCGGCCUUCACGUGUAACCUUUAGCUAGUGACUCACCGUCUCUGUCCCUCCUUCAAGGCCCUUCCAUGCUCCCCAGUAGCCUCCCUGUGCUGCCCCCUCACACCAAAAGACAAUGGGUGAGGGGAGGGGAGGCUCUCCUCCUCGACAGGGGCCAUUCCCUCCCCUGCAUCUCUUUCUGCUGACCCUGAACAGGACACCCUUGCUUUAAAGCACAGGAAGUUCACUGGGCAGGAGACAGGUGGCCAAAUGCUGUCACUCCUGAGGCUGCCGCAGGCAUGCAACUAAAUGCCAACUGUAAAGGGCCUGUAAUCCCCAAAGAGAUGCCUCUCUCUCUCUCUGUUUCAGGGUGUCUGUAGAGAUCAGACAGACCUUGAGUUAACCCCAAUCCCAAGUUCUCCUGUAUCUUGACCCACAACCUCUCCUUCCUCAGCCAAUUCCUGGAUAUGUCUCUCCCCAAAUUAUCCCCUCCACUCACCCCAAAAUCCACCACUGGGGGUCCAAAGACCCUCCCCUGAGCCUGGCUGGACAGACUGCAGCUUCUGGAACACAGCAUGGCAGGCCUGGCUGGCAGUCCCAGGGGAAGGAGCCGUCUGGUCCUGCUGGACCACCAGGGGCUCCCUCUGCCUCCUGAUUACAGGAAGAGGCCUCCACAUGGCCCAGAGCUCUGCCCUCAGGGUGCUCUCUCUGCUCCCAAUCUCACUGCCUGCUCUCAGACUUUCAGCUCCAGCGCAGCCAGACACAUGUGCCUCCUUGUCCCCACCAAGGAUCUCCCCGAGUAGGUUCCACCCCUUCCAGCUUCCCGGUCCCACCCCUUUCAGCUUCCUGGCCCUGCUUCCUGGCCUACCCUUCCUACAGGGAGUCACCUGGGCUCUGCCUGUCUCUCCCUCCACAGUCACCACCCCAGCCCUAGAGUCCAGGUGCCCCUGCUGCUCCCACCUCAGACCUUGGCCUGGGAGACACCAGCCUUCCCCACCCUCAGGGAAUUCCUCAAAAAUCAAAAACCUCAUAACAUGGGUCCAUCCACCAUACACACACACACACACACACACACACACACACACAAACACACACAUAUACAUGCUCUGUCCUCCCCUCCUAACCCCUGGCCCCCACCUCCCUCUCUGUAAGGAAACUGGGGAGACUGAAAUCCCCUCCAGCCCAGGACCUCUAUGAAUCUGAGGUUUCUCUCCACAGCCUCAGGUCGGGGCUCCCGCCCUGGAUGCAACCAAGUCUGGAGGCUGGCUGACCACAGGGCACACACCCUCCUGACUGGCCUCUGGCUCCUGAGGAGGGGGGCAGCUGGCCUUGGUAGCAUUCCCCACUCCACUUUCCAGAAUCUCCCUCAGCCCCACCUUGGUAGAAGUCACACUCCCCUCUUUUCUCUCCCCAGCAUCUCACAGAGAAGACACUUGGAUGGGCCACAGGCCAAAAUUGGGCCAAAACCCUGGAGAGGUGGACCUGGCUCAAGGCCAUAUCACAUUUCCAUGUCAUUUUCCAGUGGCACCAACUGAGCUGGACAGGCAUGUGGCUGGACAACCCCCACCCAGGAGGCAGGGCAAAUUCCCAGAGUACCAGGUCACUGAGCCAUCUCUGGGGUAGGGCUCCCAAGGACUGGCUGGUUCUGGAAUGAUGCCGCUGGGAUGCCAGAUGCCAGCUGCUCCCCCUGCCUGCCCCAGCCUCAAAUAAAGCCUUGUCCCUCCCAGACCAUCACACAUUCCCUGCUCUUGGAAGCCUUACCUGGUCAACCCCACCCAACUUUUACCACUUACUACACCACUUACUUCGCGUACCCUCAGCACUUCGAUCCCAAGUUACCCUGUGCUCAUUUGCCCUUGUUUACGUGUUACUUUGCAGAUAUUCUCACAGAGCUACACAUGCCAUGAUCAUCACUAGUUGCGAGAGUCUCCAGUGUUCAUUAAGCCUAUUUUGCUGGAGGAUUAGUCCCUGUCCUUAAAGAGUGCCAAAGAAGACUUUGGGAUCUAAGUCACAUCUCCCCUGCUGCAAUUUUUUUCCUUUUGAUAAUCAAGCAAUCUCACUGAUAAAAUUCUCAACAAAGGGCAGCUCUCCCCAUGAGCAAGUUCUUGCCUUGACUGCCAGGGAGGCCCCAGCUAAGGUUAUACUGGGAAAGGAAUCUCUGCGAGUACCUGUAAGAGGUCAGCUUCUCCUCAAAGGAAGCCUCUCCAGCUGGUGUACUGCACACCCUUCCAAGACCAAGUUCCCUUCUCCUGGCCUCUAGAACCUGCCUGUGUGCCAGUGCUGUGUCCCCAGUAACACACACGAGUCUCUCCCUCAGAAGCCACAGAAAGAUGCAGAGAGGGACCAACCUGGGAUUGAUUCUCCGCCCUAGCACUUACUAAUUGUGUGGACAUAACUGGUCUGGACCUCAGCUUUGCUAUCUAUAAAAUGAGAACCAUUUUAUAGAUAUGAACACUU
Chlorocebus sabaeus (green monkey) is the source of this 5749-nucleotide non-coding RNA. The record is from RefSeq and is a predicted model, not a curated record. NCBI's taxonomy places the organism in Eukaryota, Metazoa, Chordata, Mammalia, Primates, Cercopithecidae.